Molecule: unclassified non-coding RNA, 205 nt
Filed under: Hevea brasiliensis (rubber tree)
Lineage: Eukaryota; Viridiplantae; Streptophyta; Magnoliopsida; Malpighiales; Euphorbiaceae
Source: RNAcentral
GUGGGGCAAUUCCUGGAGUUAAUGCCCAAAAAUUCAAAGAUGACAACACUAUGUGGAAGGAACGCGUAGCGCAUUACAAGCGGAUAAUUCCACCACUUGCACAAGGCCGAUACCGAAACGUUAUGGACAUGAAUGCCAACUUGGGAGGCUUUGCAGCUGCGCUGGUGAAGUAUCCAGUGUGGGUGAUGAAUGUGGUUCCGGCUAA